AUUAUUAAUAUUAUGAACAAGAAAAUCAAAGGAUAUAUUUCAUUGAACUUACUUAAAAAAGAUUGAAUCAAUAGUUAAUAUUGAUUUCAUUGCUUGAAGAUAGAAAUGCUCUAGCUUCAAGAAAAUUAUUCUUUAUCAAUGAAAAGAUGUAUUUCUUUCUUUUAGUAUAAAGUAAGAAUAUCUAAAAAGAAUAUUUGAUAAAUCUUAUUAAUUUUUAUAUGGAUAAGUGAUUUUAAAAUAAAAUCUUAAUAAAGACAUAUUCCAAUGGACUUAACAAAGAUUCAAAAUAUGUGCCAUUAUUGUAUUAUGUAAAGUCUUGCUUGAGAAUGCACCAAACACUUGGUUGUAGAAAGUAGAAUGAAAAUUGCAAUAACAAGAUCCUAACAACUUUAAUAGAAUCCUAAAUAUAAUUUAAUUAAAUCUUAAUAAUGCUAAUCAAUUUUUAAUCAAAUCCAAAAGAAAUUUUAAAGAAAUUAAAAAAAUACAUAAAGAAAUCUUAAAAAAAUAUUAAAAGAAUCUUAAAUAAAUCUUAAAUAAAUCCUAACUAAAUUCUAUUUUAAUUCUAAUUAAAAUUCUAAUAGAUCUUAAUUAAAUCUUAGGUCAAAUCCUAAUUAAAUCCUAAAUCUUAAACCAAACUCUAGAUAAAUCUUAAAUCCUAAACCAAAUCUUAGACAAAUCCUAAGUUCUAAGCAAAUCCUAAAUCCUAAAUCAAAUCCUAACCAAAACCUAAUCAACUCAAAUCAAUCCUAAGGUAGAUUAGAAG
This 763-nucleotide long non-coding RNA is filed under the name Physcomitrium patens. Its description in RNAcentral is "long non-coding RNA (PPAT_LNC010336)". The record is from RNAcentral. Lineage: Eukaryota; Viridiplantae; Streptophyta; Bryopsida; Funariales; Funariaceae.